This 23-nucleotide non-coding RNA is filed under the name Arabidopsis thaliana (thale cress). Lineage: Eukaryota; Viridiplantae; Streptophyta; Magnoliopsida; Brassicales; Brassicaceae. The record is from RNAcentral.
CCAGUGCUCUGCAACGAGCUGUG